RNAcentral lists this long non-coding RNA (342 nucleotides) under Mytilus galloprovincialis (Mediterranean mussel). Lineage: Eukaryota; Metazoa; Mollusca; Bivalvia; Mytilida; Mytilidae. The record is from RNAcentral.
AAUUUCAAGUUGAUGUGAUCACAACUUCACUGUAAACUACCUUGAAGUGGCAGAGAAUUAACUGACAAGCAGAUGUACAGAUUUAAAAUCAUAAUGCCCCAAUACUAUGUUAGGCCGGCAUAAAAUUAAAAAAGGCCAGGUAUCACUAAGGGCUGUUCCAGAAAAUACUAUGUCCCCCCCAGGGACGGCACUUUUUUUUAACCCCCACCACCCACAGAAAUAAAAUUUAAUUAGAACAGCACUCCCUUUGCAUUUUGGUAUUUCAAAUACAACCACCCACAUAAUAUUUAAAAAAAAUUGCCUUCCCUGGGGGGGACAUAGUAUUUUCUGGAACAGCCCUAA